RNAcentral lists this ribosomal RNA (253 nucleotides) under uncultured bacterium. RNAcentral's name for it is "partial 16S ribosomal RNA". It matches the Rfam family "Bacterial small subunit ribosomal RNA", at positions 524 to 776 of the family's 1533-position model. The record is from RNAcentral.
UACGAAGGGAGCUAGCGUUGUUCGGAAUCACUGGGCGUAAAGCGCGCGUAGGCGGCAGUGCAAGUCAGAGGUGAAAUACCUGGGCUCAACCCAGGAACUGCCUUUGAAACUGCACUGCUAGAGUACUGGAGGGGAUAGCGGAAUUUCUAAUGUAGCGGUGAAAUGCGUAGAUAUUAGAAGGAACACCGAUGGCGAAGGCAGCUAUCUGGACAGUCACUGACGCUGAGGCGCGAAAGCGUGGGGAUCAAACAGG